Molecule: long non-coding RNA, 16972 nt
Organism: Ooceraea biroi (clonal raider ant)
Lineage: Eukaryota; Metazoa; Arthropoda; Insecta; Hymenoptera; Formicidae
Source: RefSeq, a predicted model, not a curated record
GUCAGAGACCGUUAGUGCGCUGCGUCGCCCCUGUAAUCGCCGACGGUGGCGAGCGCGACGUCUUAAUCCACCCCCUCGCGCUUCCCGAGCAACUCGGAAGUCGCGUCAUUCCCUCGUUCACCGGCGGUCAAGUUAACAAUUAAUGCGGUUAUCAGCGUCGCUCGAGACGCGUGACAGUAAAUGAAAAAAGGAUUUUAUUUCUAUUUGAAUAAUACUCUUUUGAAAUCUACUUUUGCGAGUUCCGUUUUAAUUGAAUUGCUAAUGUAAAACGAAAUUUUAAUUGCAUUGCUUUGCUUCAGUCGAACUGGCGAACGAGUCGUAAUUGCGGGGGUGGAUUAAAACCGCGGAAUUUCAGGCUUCCCGGAACGCCUUUUCACAAAUCAUGAAAGCAGUUUACGUUACAAUACUUAGGACACGUGUCGGAACCACUGUUGUUGCACGAAUUUCAAUGUUUCCUGGAUAAUUGACGCUUAAUUCGCUGUGGUUCAGACGAUCGUAAAAUAUUGUCAAUUAUAAUUAGGUACGCGUAAUUAUGUGCUGCGCAGAGAAACGAUUCAGUCGAGCAAGUUGAUUUGUCGAUAAUUCUAUUAAUUCCAUGUUGAUAUUGUUUUGCUCUGAAGCGUUUGUCUGCGCAAUAAAACGACGUUUUACAACGUACGAGUAUCUUAUCUUACUAAUAUUAUUCAAGAGCGGAUAAUGGCAUUUUCGGUGUCAGUUAGCGAGUUUUUCUUUCUAUUGUAUGGCGAAAAUAUAUUUUUUGCUGCUGCUAUUAUUAACAAUAACGUAAGUUGCUACAUACCCCUUUCGAAAAUCUCCCGACAACCUAUUUCGCUGUGUAAAAAUGGAGAUAAAGAAUAAUGAAGUUAUUAUAUACGUUGUAGCAAAGUAUUUGCAAACGAGUUAUUAUCUAAUUUUUAUUAUUGCCUGCAAAUUACCUUUUGAUGCAUUCACAUGAAUUAAAUUUAUAAAUGGGAACGAAAUGAUAAUUUGAUUUGAGUCUGAAUUUUGUCUCUCAUUUGAUGGCCGAUAAUGAUAAACCACUCGAUAUUAUUGGAAGCUCGACAAGUGAAUAUAAAAAUGAUAAUUAAUGCGCGUGUGUAUGCGCGCGCGUCGCAAAUCGAAUAUUGCGCAGUCAUGUGCCCUCGAAGUGCCGUCCGAAACAUGUGAUUCAAUGUGAUGUCGGUCCCAAUAAAUGUAAUUAUUAACGGAUCGCGCAAUAGUAACGUCAUUAUCAAAAUUACCUGAAUUACGCGAGCUGGGCAAUCGGAAAACGUUCGCAGGUGGUUCGCAUUUAUUCGCUGUAAUACCGCGUAAGGCAAUGCGAAUUUAACGAGAAAGAAAUCGCGCAAUAACGAAAUCCGAUUAAUUCGACGUAAACUGUACGUAUUUUAUUUGCAUUGUUCGCGAAUCGCGGUAUCAGUAUCCUGAGAGGCGAGUCCCGAUGUUAUAAAGGCGACGAGUCACGUAACAAACACAAAGAGAAUCGAUUCCGUCGUGACGAGGAUGACAAUUUUAUGCAAAGCUUGCGGAGACCGAGUCGUUAAGGUGAACGCACCGGGCAGAUUUAUUGCGUUCUCGAAAGUUUCGAACUUUUCUGAAGCUUCGUUAAACGCGUCCGUGAGAGAAAAAAAAUGAAAAGGAAGACAGAGACCACUACAGAUGACACGAGAUUUAAUUACGAUUCGCGAGCCGGCGAAUCGCUCGGUGCGAUAAAUCGGAAACGGAUUAAUCUUGUCGCGGGAUUCGUAUAGAUCUCGCGCAAAGCCGCUUCGUUAGGACUUGAUGCUUGCCAGGAUACGGAUUUAUUACAAUCCCCUGCAUUCGCGUCUAAUUGUUAAUUGGAUAACCGGUCUGCUUAGCCCUUUCGAUGCGCACGAGACCUAUCCUUUCCACAGCAAUUUCCAAUUGUCACAUUGUGCCGUUUGCUUUUGAUCCUUUCUUUCGUUUUAGUGUAAUUAAUAUUGACCUGACCGGAUAAUUUGUGCCGAUUGUUUUAGCAAAAUUCAAACGCGGUGCCCGAUUAAAUAAUUGGCACACGUUAAAAAUCGUAGUAUGCCGUGUCUGGCAUUUUGCGACCAUUCGACCGGAAAUUGCCUAAUCACGAAUGACUGAGCUUUUCAAUUUAUCAUUUCAAACGAAUAUAUAGCAAUCUGCAAUUUAUGUGAUAAAAAUAUUGUAGGUAAUCCAAAUCGUAUUUUUGCUUUCUAAAUAUCAUUUUACGCAACAUUUUUGAUAUGUUGUAUGUUGAUUAAGAAAGAGCAAAAAUUCACGAUAUUUAGUAGAGCUUUUAACAGGAUCCAAAACGAAAAACUGAAAAAUGAAUUGCUGCAAAUUCUCGCGUUGUUGAUAAAGCGUAAUUUAACGGUAUUGUUAAUUAGCAUCUAUUUUUCAUGUUAGUAUAUUUACUAAACGCAGCCCGUGUUUAGACCGGGGAGCACGAACGAAAUAUUAAUUAUGAUAUUUACUCACUGAUUUAUUGGCAAUCAACGCGGCACCAUUCGUGGGUAAUUGUAUAUUUGAUUUCCGAUAUAAUUUUAUACACAAGUGCGCAUUUGCGACGCGCGCGCGUACGUAUGUGUAUACGCAAUCCCUUUUUUUCUCAGUCAAACACAAAUGUCAAACCACAAUCUAACAAUCGCGUACCAUUGACUCGUAUUGACUCGCGAAAUGCGCUAUUACUCUCCCCCGGGUGUGGUUCACCAGAAGAUAUUAAAGUAUUUAAAGUGUAAAUGGUACCGCUUGCGCAAAAUGCGUGCCAAUCGAAAUGCGAGUCGGUCUUUUAUUCCGUGGCACUAAAAAAAAAAAACCGCGAUGUGGCAAAAACCAUUUGCACAAUGUCAAUGCGCGUAGUCGCAGGCGCAAAUAAAAAUCACGUGGGGCGUCCAUUUCGAUUAUUCGUUUGCAGAAUUGACGCGAAUCGUGUAAUAUAUAUUACAUGUACAGUAUAAUAAUAAAAUUCCAGAUCCUUUCAAGGGAAAGAAGAGUCGAGUGAAUUCUCGAGGAGGCUUUCCCACAUUAUUAUGUCUCGAGAGAGGCACACAGGAGGACGGCACAUUGCGUUUAAUAUAAUUAGGACGAUGAAGGGCGGACUGACUGAUGCGCAAAGGGCCAAACCUAUCGGCGGAAAGAAGGGACGUCAGAGGAAACGCGAAUCAAAGAUUAAAGCCGGGACUACGCAAUUUCUCAAUCCAAACGCGUUAAUUGCUCAAAGCUAAUUACUCACAAAAACCGUCAGGACGAUUUCGUUGGUCCGACCGUCGGUGCGCGUGAUCGUCGAUGUUUGUCGACUGCUCGGCUUGAAAAAUUAAGAUUUGCAAGAGCGCGUAAAAUAGAGCGACGAAAUGACGAACAAUUUCAGCCGCGUGAAUAAUAAAUUUCACUAUAACGCAUAUUAACGCGCAGCAGCCCGCGUUUUCUGCCUUGACCCCGCGCGAAUCCUCACGAGGGAACGCGCAUGUAUUAUAGCAGAAAAAUGUGCAAAACUCCGGGCAAAACCGAAACGAACUUUUCACGGGUUCGCGCGUUAACUAAUUACCCGGUCUCCUUUUCUCCCCCUCCCCCCCUCCGCUUCGUUAAUUAAUUCCGCCCACGGGAGUAUGACAGAGUCGGAUAACUUGAAAAUUGAAUGAAUAAAAAGGAUAAAUUUUCCGAGUAUCGCCGAGUGAAGAACUGCUCGUUUAAUUAAACGAAGGCAAGGCAGGGAUCUUCUUCGUAGAGGUCGCACUUAUUCGGAUUUUCUAAAUUGAGAGUUCAGUCGAGCGGAGAAUAUUAUUAAUAUUAUAUUGCCGAUGAUUAUCGGUGCGCGGUAACAAAUUAUAUUAUAUUUUCGGACAACAAUAACAAUCGCUUUUAGCGGAGAUAUAAUUAGACAAUCAGAUUAACGAAAAUCAAAAGACUGAAUUACUCGCUCGGCAUGAAUUGUAUAUUUUCCAAUUUCACACGAUAAUAUUAAAUGGGAUAAUAAAUUUCGUCCAUUCCGUAAAUACGCGUUGAUCAAUUAUUAACGCGGUAGCUUCUCGUCGCGCGACAUUCUCAACGCGAUUACGCUAUUCCGGUAACGAGAAUAUUGGAGAGAACGGAACUUUUAUCGCGUUACAUCGCGAAACUUCGUUAUUGCGCAUCUGGGCCACUGCGAAAUUAUUUCUGAUACAGGCGACGGCGCUGCUGCUACGCUCGCUUUCGUAUGAAGCGUAAAUGAAAUUUGCUCUUUAUAAUGCAUCUUUCAUUGUGCACUACUCCGUCAAAAUUCGUCCUGAAAGCCGUAGCCCUUCCGACGUAUCCGACGCCGGAUGCGCGUCACCACAUUCCCGAAACACCGGACGAUGCAUCUAGUUGCCGGGCAUUCGACGAAUUCACACGUACGGUAUUUGCGCGUGGAAUUUUACCGUGACAUAUAUAUAGCGUACGUACGAUAUCCUUAGCUUAAAAAGCCGAUGCUAAAAAUAUAAUGUAAAGAAAACGCUUUCGAUUUUCGAAAAGCUUCAUCUUUGCCUUAAGCAUCGAGAGCGUUUGACCUCGUUGCGUCGCUUUCGAAAAUGUCUACGGCAAUGUUCAAAAAUUCCGAAUUCAUUUUCCGAUUUUCCGCGUAAUCUACGGAUCCCGAUCAACAGUGGACGUUGCUUUGCAUCGUUUAACGAGCGUCUCGAUUUCCCACGGCCGACAGAAACCAGACGCAUCGUCCGGGACCUGCGCGAGAAAAGCGAUCCGGAGCGGAGAUUCGCGAGGAUCAACGGGCCGGCGGUUCCGCGCACGCCGCCAGGAAUUGUCGGCGCAGUGCUGUGAGUAAUUAAUAUGAUUGAAUCUUCGGUCGGUUCCCAACGGGGUGCGGAAGGGUGGAUAGAUUCGGGAGAAGGGGGACGGGGCUCGUGCAGCUUUGAGGCUUUCGUUUCGCGGCCGAUGACGCGCGCGCCGAGCAGGAGAGGGUGACGAGAGAAGCGCGCGACGAGAGGCCGACGCGGAGUGUGGCGCGGCGGAGGUUGCUGGCAGGGUUGCUACGAGCGAUCAAUAAAUGCCGCUGCCAGCAUCCACCCCUGGACCCACGUCUCUCCCACGUGUCGUCUCUGUCUCUCUCCCUCUUUCUCUCUGUCUCCUCCCGUUCCCUCUCGUCCCGACGCGCUUCCUCUCGUUCUGUCUCUUUCCCUUUCUCGCCGUCCCACCCUCCUCCGUUCUCAUCCCUUGCACACUUUUGCGCAGCGCGCCUCGAGGCUCUUUCCCUCGCUCAUGGCUACAACCAGCCAGUCGAUACACCGAGAAAGCGAGAAAGAGAAAGAGAGUGAGUGAGAGGGAAAAAGAGAGCCCGAGUUUACCCCGUGUAUUCCCGAGCAAAGUUGUGCAAUCGCAUCGCGAGAGAGAGCCACCCUAUGGAACAGGGCGGCUCAGGAAUGACGGUCCCGAUGGCCGGAAACGUCCGUUGUUACCCCCGCGAUUUGGGAAACGAACGAGUGCCGCCGAGAGGUAGAGCCGCGCGCGAUGCUCGAUUGAUUUUCUCGCUAAGAGGCGACGAGAGGGACCUCAUUUUUGCGCCGGCACGCCAGAGACAUUGAAGGGUUCGCCUGCGAGAACGAGGGCGAGCCCGUCACUCGCGACAACCCCCGUGCGACCUUGCGACACUCCGAUCGAGAUCGAAGCGUCUCGAUGAGCCGCGCAAAUUGCCGAUUUGCCACGUUCUCGGCGGAAUCGCGCGCUGCAAAAGGGAAAGCAAAAGAGAGAGGGAGGGAGGGGGACACAGAGAACGAGACGGAAGAGGAAAGGUGAGAUCUCGGUACGAUCUUAAUCGCGAACGGUGCAUAAAUUAGGUGAACAAAUGGAAUUAAUGAAUUUUGGGAAUGGGAUUAAGCGAGGCCUCGGCGCGUCGGAUUAUUCGACGUCGCCGAACGUGACAGCUCGCUCUCGCACGCGAGCGAUGUUCACGCGCCUUCCCUCUACGUUCGAGUCGUAAAUCACGAGUACUUACGGCGUAAUUAAGCCGUAUUAACUUUACAAAGUAGGCGACGCGGAAAUCAAGAUCGAAGAUCGUUUCGCGAAGAGUAACGUUCGAAUUGUCUGAGCGCGAUGAUUCGCCCACGCAUUUAAUUCGAGAAACUGCGUGGCGCCCUUCGAUAUCGAUCACCCUCGAAACCACGUACCAUCUCCGAACGAAAGAGAAAACGUUUCCUCUCCCAUUCACAAGAGUAACGGCUGUAAAACUGAAAAGAAAAAAGAAAAAAACAUUGUUGCUGCGAUGGAUGCGAAAUUCGCUCGCGAUAUUUGUCGAUAUCGCGAGUACGCGAGAAUACGAGACAUUGAAACAUUAAAUUUAAGCCGCAUCAAUUCGAGCGCUCGCUCGAUUUUCACGAAGUUUUAAUAACCAACGGCGAGUUUCAGCGGGCGCUGCUGCAGGAACUCGCGAUUAAAUCAGCGAUUCGACACGCGUCCCCGGGUACACACGGUAACGAUUACGUCGUUACAAACGUUACACGCAACAACGAAUUUUCCCUCGUGUAAUAAACAACAUUUUAUCCGCGCGCGCGCGCGCGCGGGCUUGAAGGCGAGAAAUAUCGUCGGCGUAAACGACCCGCGCUCGCGAAGUUUAUUAAACUUGGAAAGAAGAAUAGCGGCGGAAAUUAAAGCGCGCACCGUGUUAAACGUUUCGUAAAUAACUCUGCCAAUAAGUUACUACAAAUUCCGGAAAUGCGGGGACAGGAACCAGGGAAGGAUCAGGGAAGACUCUGGCAGAACUGAGAAUUUUACCGUUCCUCUCAAUGCGGGAACGUCGAUGUCGGGGUGGAGAACGCAGAGGGGAGGGCAGAUGCAACAUUGACAGGGGGGUAGAAGACAGGAGACAGGAGACAGGAGAAGGGAAAGGGGCGGAGGGAAGGUAGAGAAUAAUGCGGAGACGAGGUGAAUAAUAGAGAAUGAAAGAAACAGAAGUGAGAAACAUACACGGAAUACAAGUGUGAAUGCAGCCCUGGCAGGCUGAAAAAGUAGUCAGUCAAAUGCACUAGAACCACAGUCGCAUGACCCAACGAGUAAAGCAACAGUGAUUAAGGGUGUGGUGUUUACAUAACGUACUUCUCUUGGCGAAUUACGUGUGGAAUUCAAAUCAACGCUCACAGGACUAAACGACGUUAGCAAACAUAACUACCGCACGCUGCCGGCACCCCCGAGUGUACCGAGAACGGGCGACGAACCCCCGGUGUGCCCCGGGACACCCGUUGCAUACGCCCGUCUCGUCCGGGUAGCCGACUCUGGGAUAUACGGGGUGGCCCAAAGGAACGAGCGUUAACUCGAACGGAGAUACCGAAUUCGGGUAAGUUUCCGCGCGAGGUGACGUCACGUGAACUCGAUCGCGAUACCGUAAAAACCCCCGUAAUAUCUGCAGUUUGAGAAUAAUGUACGAUAUCUUCACGGUAAAGUUAUUUUCGCGGGCCGAGGAUGCAUUUAACGUUACGUUACAUUACGUUUACCGUUAUCGUUACUUUCCGCGCAGAUUACCACGUCGCAUUGCCGCGUGAGAGCUACUCGUACCGCGUUACCGCGGUAAGCUUACUCGGGAACUCGUCGAUUGGCACUCUUCGAUGGUCGACUAAAAGAGGGACAAAAAAGAAUAAAAAAAAAGAAAAAUGGAAAAGAAGCUCGCUCCAAUUCCUCGGGUAUCGCUCGAAGCUCGAAAUCUUCCGCGUGCUCCGUCGCGCUAUCGAUCCGAGCUUCGCGCCCCGCACACAGAGACGCAGGGGGAUGUGAGGGUUGCGGGGGGAAGAGGGUGGGAUGGGAGAGAGAGGGAGGAGGGCCUCCCUCCGUGCCGAGGGUCAAAAAGUUCCUCCGCCACAUCCCAGGCUCGCAAUGAAAAUCGUCGCUCCCCGCAGCGGGGGGCGACCAAAAAGUUCCUUGAAGCGGUGAAUGGAGGCGGCAUUCUCGCAUCUCGGAGGAUAUACAACAGGUACAAUAUACGUGGUAUCUUGCUACACAGACAGACUCGAUCGCAAAAAGGUUUCCAAUCGGCCUCGACUCGUGUGCCGACUCGCUCUGAGAUACACUUUGAUUUCCAUGCACUAAGAGAUAUAUUAUUCGUUCCAGAAGUGUGAACAAUAACGAUUACGGUCUCCGAACGAAAGCCAUUCAAAGAUACUUUCCGAGCAAAUGGUGUGAGUGAGUAAUACGGCAAAAAGGAGAUGCAGAGAGAGAUUAGUAUUAUGUAUAUAUAUAUAAUAUGUAUAAUAUAUAAAUGUGAGCUCUCUACUUUCACAUCUCGCAAGGAACUCUCACUACCUACGUGGGGCGCGAUCGAUUGCAAUCAUACGAUUAGGAUACCGAUGCCGAUGCCGAUACCGCGGGAUGCUGUGCGCGACGUAUUCUCUCGCGAUCUUCAUACCGAUUCAUACGACGGACGCGCAACGUUUUCUCGCGAAUCACCCCGUAGAGACCGGACAGCCGACGUAACUACCCCGCGUCUAAAAUCGCUUUCGCCGCGUCGGAGCUAGCUUUUACUUUCGUCGAGAGGUUUUGCGAACCAUUACCAUCAAGACCUUCCUCGUCGCGACGAUAGUUGCUUCAUUCUCGCGGCUAAAACAAAUGGUUUUCUUUUAAUAAUAAUCGCGCCCGCCGGUGGUUCUCAAAUCGCGCGUUUUUCAUGUGAAAAAUUGCCGAUAUCAGGGGAACAAAAUUUGAUUUCGGAAUAUCGGUUAAAGCUCGCUGCCCGUGUAGCAAAAGGAUAUUCUGUGAACUACGAAUAAUACGUUUGCAGAUUGAUCUGAUCUGGAUGUAUUGAUCGAAAUAUAUUUUUGAUAACACUUUUGUUAUUGUAUUAAUUGCUUAAAGCGCAAUUUUUUCUCUAACAAGAUCGACAUAUCGUGUUUAUGACAGUUCUCUUUAUCACGGGCCGUUUAGAAAGUUAACGCGGGGAAUCGCGCGAUAACAAUUCAAUAAAAUUUUAUUGUCAAAGAGAGGUCAUGCGUCGCGUCGCGUGUUCCCACAUGGGGCAGCAGCGAAAAUCCAAAGUGUGAGAACCACCGGACCGCUUCGCACGCGUAUCAAAGAACGUUAAUGCUUGCGUUAUUACGGUGCAAUAAGGGGAACGUUUCGACGCUGAUCGACGUCCGCGAAUGCCUGGGAAGAUACUGCCAAAGAGACGAGAUAAAGAGAGAAAGAAAGAAUCAAGAGGCUAUUUUCCACGUGGUGACGAUCAUUCAACAAUAAUUUAGCGAGCCGAUAAAAGCCCUCCCUCUCCCUGCCGAUAGGCGCACUUUACGAUCGCGAGUAUUCUUCGUCGGGAACGCGAUGGACCGAGUCGGAACGAGUUUCUCCUCUCUUUUCUCAGAUACGACGACAGAUACGACGAGUCGUCGGAUUUCGCCGCCGAGCUCUCUCCUUCCAAAAAAUACAAAGCGCACUUCCGCUUGCGGCCCACUACUAAAACUGCUGGCGGUGCUUGCACGCUCAGCGGUAACUAAUUAAGGCUACGCACUGACGACUAAUUAGUGGAUGCCAGGCUAAACAAUCAGUAAGAAAGGUGAAUCUCAUAUGAAGGCAAGCCAAGGCCACGACAUGAGACGUGCAAAUUAAAAAAGGUAAUAAUAUUAAAAAAGAAGCAAGUAAAAAAUUCUCUCCCAAAACCGCUCCAACCACAACCAAGCACAACCACAGGCAAGAUACGGGCCUUUAUGUCAACGAGACAGUCAUCAACCAGUGAAUGUGGCGCAUUACCGUGAUUAUUAUAUGUAAUAGUAACAAUUUAAAAAAAAGAUAUCUAUACAUAAUGUAUGUAUAUGUAUAUAUAUAUACGUAUGAGGUAUACGAAAGGCGGAUUAAUCGACGACGGGGAGGAGAAUACAAAACGGGAGGGGUGGAAGAGAAAGAAAGAGAGAGAGAGAGAGAGAGUAUGUGUGUGAGAGCGAGAAAGGGCAGAUGGAGCCCGAUUGCGCCGGAAUCGGACCGGCCGAUACGAUUAAACGAUUCUCGUUAGCGUCUCGUCGGACGUGAACGGGAAUCGUGGAGUUAACCGUGGGUUAACGCCGAUCGAUAUCGCGGCACGUAUUAUAUACGGCCCACAAACGGAGAACGGGACUUCAACGAGGAAGGAAUCACGCGUGUGUUGGGGAACUCGUGGGAACUCGCAGAGAGGCGAGGGAUUAAUUCAAGUGGAGGGACGAGUCGACGACGGUGUCCCCGAUUAAUCGAGCUGGCGACGUGAGUGUGGUGUUGGUCAGUAUAAAUACGUAUAUGUAUAGAGAAAGAGAGAGAGAGGGAAAGAGAGAGGACAUGUACGCAAAAAACAAGCGCGCGAUACGAUAUGCCGGGCGGGGGCGGGAUGGAUUAAUUCGAUUAAUCUCUGUGUAUGAGUGUGUGUAUGUACGUGUGUGUCUCGGUACGCGCGAGUGGGCUUUUUAGGGACUUGAGGCGGCCCGGCGGACACGGGCACAGGCGGGACGAGACUGUGAAGCGACCAAAGUGUGUGCCAAGAGGUGGUUAAUGAUCAUUACAUACUGGCAGACUCUCUACUCUUCUCUCACACGCACAUUCUCUCUUCCUCUUUCUCAGGCCAAUCACACGGAAUAUUAUUUUACGUGACGUAGAUAUAUCUCAUGCGUUUUUACCACUGGACAGAUAGAGCCCUAAGAUUAAAAGCUACCACAGGCGACUCUCGGACCUUCUCUCGAAUCAUUCUUUGGAGAUUCUCGGGAAUGCUCGGACUGCGUGCUUCCGAGCAGAUCUCAUGACGCGCCCCUUUCCUUCUGACGUUUGCGUCCCGAAUUUCGAGUCGGAUUUUCACGCGUCAAUCUUCGAGCAUUCGUGACGUCGACGAGACAUCAACGAUUCAAACGAGAGGCGAAACUGAGAGGAAAGAGGCGCGUCCAGGCGGACUCUCAUUAAAUUCGCGCGGACGCAGAAUACUGCGUGCGUGAUUCGCAAUUCUUGCGCAUUCCGUGCCUAUGCCAUGUAUCAUCGCCGUUGUUAUUUGUUACUCGCUCGUUUUCCGCUCGUUUUAAUGUUCUUUUUUCUUUUGGUUUUUUUUCUUUGGUAGGAAGGGGGCCGUACCUUUCGGAAACCCUCGCAUUCGUGGCUUCUUAUUCGAUUAUCGCUCAUGUCCUUCUCUUCGGAUAGCGGCGCUCUUCCGUAAGGAUCUUCCUCCUCUUUGACCCUUUGUAUUGCGAUAGAAACAGCUCUGUUCGGCCGCUUCGUCUUCCUGAUGUCCCGUCAUCGUUCCUGCCGUUCAUCCUUUUAUGCCGUUCAAGUGUCACAGGGCGUUUCAAUCGUAGAGGCGUUCGUUGUAGCUCCGCAUAUUCGCGAGCAGAUGAAUUCCAGAUUUUAAUUGAGUCAGAUCAAGUUGCAUCGUUUUCAGAACACAUGUAUUCGAUAUUUUAUCGAGAUAGAAUUUCCUUUUACAAAAAAAAGAAAUAAAGUGUCGAAGUCGAUGAAGGCUUCCAUAUAUUUCCAGUAUUUUCGCUUCUUCGAGCGAAAAGCCCUGAGUGACGUUAUUUGCACUCUUCACGCUCCGUGGACCGCCGUGACAAAUUAAAAUAACGCAGAGUGACGACAAGUGGCGAAAGAACAGGAAAACAGGGAACGAAAGAGAAAAAUGACAGCACAGUCGAUGUCUGCGGCGGUCGCAAUGACUGAUGAAAGUGAUAAAAGUGAUGAAAUACACGUGGCAUGCAGAUAUUACAAUCGAAAAUUGCAAAACGAUUGACUCGAGGACAAUUCUUGCAUCGCGCGACGAAUAAAUAAAGAAUGAAUCUCUGUGCUCGAUUGCUCGACAUGUUCACGGCACGAUUAAUUGUUACAAAGUGGCACGAUAAAUAAGAUAAAAAAAAGCUUAGACAUGCAUCACCAGAACCGUCGUCGUCGAUAAAUAACAAAUCCCCGAGAGUCGCUCUUGGUCAAUAAAAAAAGAAUGUAGUUCGCGGUGCUUUCAGCGUCGAAGUAUCGAUACUCAGCGGUACUCGUUAGAAAGAGAAAAUAACUUUUAAUGAUCGGCGAGUCGGCGGAAUUCUCACGAUUUCAAAUCGCGACUUGAUUACGCUCGAUCCAAGUGUCAAAUUAUUACGAUCUUCCAGCUCGCGUACGUCACAGAGACAACGAGAUCCUCUGCGCUGAGGAAGAGCGGAAGAUUCUUUCUUUCUCGGUAGCAAUAUCAAUUUUCCUCGCACGUUUUCCGGACGCGACCGCGACGGUGCGACUCAAGUGAAAGAAUUCUGACACAGCGUAAAAUUGGAGAAAAGAACGAACCGGCGGAAAGCAACUCCGGUAAAGAGAUAGAGAGCAAGAGAGGCGGGGGUGUGCAAGAAAGCGGCACGAAGUGGAAUGAAAAUUGUCAGGAGACGCGGAACGCUUCGGGAACUGCGGGCGGAGUGCAAGAGUGGAAAAGGUAAAGGGAGGAUGGAGGAGGGAGGCACAGCCACCCAGAAAGAGCGGAAGGACCAGAGCUUCCGGCUUUUCUUCGGACACUCGCAGGGACUCGCUCUUUCCCAUGUCUCUUUUCCGUUAUCUCUCCCAUUCUGUCGCUAAAUCGACGGUUGCUCACUCGCGAUGGCGAAUUUCAACGUCGAUUCGACAAUUUCGAGAGAGUUGACGACGACACACGGAGAAGAAUUCCGCCUUUACGCGCGCGAGCACUGCAUUCCGCUCGGCGAGGACAGAGAGAACGAGAACAGAUUCCGAUAUUUUCGCGAGCUUCAUUUCGAGAGACUCUCGCAGGCAGCGCAGAGGAGACAGACAGUGCACCGAGCGACGACGUUCCGACGAAUAAAUGGAGAACAGACAGCGCGCGUGGAUGAGAAAUAUCUCGACUAUUCGCAACGGAAAGUUCAGAUGCGGAGGCGAGACUCCGCUUCCGCGAGACGAUUAGGAAGCGUGCGGAAUGAACGCGUCCACGGAGCGAUCGCAUAGUUAAGCGGAAAGAGAGAAACGGAGAGCGAGGCAGGCGGAUCGCACUUUCCUCCUGUCUAUUCUCCGAGGCAUUUCAGUUUCCCGAGCAAUUCGUUCAUCCACCUGAUACCGCACGAUCAAAUAAUGAGACUGCUUAAUGAGUCUCGCGUGAUUUUAUCGGCGUAAGAAAACGCGUAUCUGCACGUGCGAUGCUUCUACGUGAAUGCGAAACGUGCCUCGUAUCUGCCCGCUCCCCGUUCGCGUCUAUUCUAUGAACGUUCAUCUCCGGCGAGUGAGAUAGAUACAUGCAUGAUCGUGCAAUCGUGAGAAUCGGUUUUCGAUAUACUCGUCGACGUUGUACGGAAAGUAAAAACUCCUCUUUAUUGACUGAGAUGUGACAAAUCGGUUCGCCUGUGCGUCGUGCAGAUUUGUUUCGGCGAACAGAGAGUGACAAGAACAAGUUGCCCUGGUAUCGAUUAACGAUUUGCUUCGUCGCUGCUGCGUUUUGCCCUCGAUGACGCUUCGCUUUGCGGUCACAUUAACAUUCAGCCGCGUACUUUGCAAUCCAGAUAGCUUCAGUUGCAUAAACGGAUGUACAAAAUUAAUGCUUACAAAACAUGUGUACAUGGAAUUAAUUAUGCAAAGUAAAAGGCAGAUUCUUCUCAAUUACCGUAUCAAUAAAAUAUUUAGGAGAUACGAAUACGUCAACUUCAAUACGAAAGCGUCAUCGAGAUUUGGCGGAAAACCAGCCUUCCAUCGAUCUCAUCUGCGAUAAUUUCCGCUACUUGUCUUCGUUCUUUUUUUUUCCGUUUGCAUGUGUCACAGAAUUAUCCACCUUUUUCCACUGUCUGUCACUUUCCUCCGUCCAUUCUUAAAUUCUAAUCUUCAUUUACAUGCGUCCGAUCCUUUUAAUCCGAACACUUAAUUGUCCACAUAAAAAACACUCAUGUGACGAUAAACUAAGUAGUCUAGUCGCUAUGUCCUACAGCCUAUCAAUCUGUCCGCGUAGAUCUAUCUACCUUCUACAUUCGUAAAGUGGGGUAUUAUGGCACACACGACUGAGACCUGAGACCGACCGGAUCGGUAAAUGUGAAAUAAAUCAAGCGGUCGUUUAUCCGCGGCAAUUCCGCGGCGAAUUACCCCAAUUUACUCGUCAGGCGAACGAAUCGAUGUCACGAAUCUUUGGAAUGUCGGUGUAAUCCUGCAAUGGAGUACGGGAGUAGUCAUGCAGUUACGUAAUACUGUUCUGUGUUCCCGUCGGUCCUGCAAUUGGUUUGCGUUUUCCACGCCGAGAUCAGCGAUGCGCGAGUAUCAAAAUUGUGAGAGUACAAAAAUAGACGGCCAGCGCGGGGCGUCGCGACGCCGCGCGUCGCGGAUUUUGCAGGACCACGUGAACUAAACUCUACGUUCGUUCCGUUUUAAAAAAGCGGCAUGUGAGGUGCAGCCUUGUCCUUCCGUCCUAUGUAAAUCUACGUAUACACGCUAAAUUACACGAAAUAUAAUCUAAGGUAACGCUCACAUAAUCACUAAGAUCAAUACCCUGUAUUGGUUUGGCACGAUAACCCACUUAUGUUCUAAUAGUGUUGCGCUAUAAUUACCAACGAUGCACGUAUCAUCGUCAUACCUCGCGAAAUAUAACAAGCGAGCGAGAUAAGCGGUGCCGAAAUCGGAGCUUGCCAUAUUUCAGUCUCGACCAAAAAUUCGUGAAUUAGUGAAGGAAAACAUGAAAUAAUUAUUUAUCGCUAACACAUUCGGUACCCUGUGUGGUCGUUUCGUUAAAUCUAAAAAUCUACAAACUAUAUUCCGACCUCAUCCAAUAAUUCAUUCGCCGUUUAAUUUCACGAAAUGUUUGUGCAAAAAAAAGAUCAUAAACUAUCAAUAUGCUCGUUAAACAAAAAGGGGCGACGAGAGAAAAAAAGCGGAAAAAAACAUUUCGCGAUGCGCUACGUUGUGACAUUUUUCGAGGGCUAAAACAGUCAUACAUUUAAAUAGUGAAACUUCUGUUUUUGAAUCGGUAAAUAUAUAAUCAAAGCGAGAAACGUGAGUUCGAUGUGAAAAAUUUCAGUACAUAUUUCGGUUCUACAAAAAAAGGGAGAAAAAAAGAGGAAAAAUAUUUUUUACGGAAUUCGUAUUUUUGGUUUUCAUGCUCUGUGGAAGCGUUUCGAUUCCGCGAUGCAAGAUGCGAUGGUAAAAACAUGAAAGGUACGCAAGCCGAUUGUGUUUUCGCGAUAAGUCGAAUUGCAUUCGAAGCGAUGUUCCGAUUUUUUUCUCUGGUCGCGUUCGCUCUAAUUAUUUCGAUUCCUGGAUUAAUCGUCUCGAUAAUCGGAAGCUCACGUGCUUUUGCGGCAUGCCGCUGGAGACCGAAAGUCGCAGUUCACGCGGCCGAUUUUAGCCGGCCGAUUAACUGCUUCCGCUCCGGGCGGCGUUUUACAAUGCGGAGAACAAUGCGCGUUACGGGACAGUGUCAGAAUUAAUGCGACUCGACGCAAACUGUCAGCGACGUCGCGUUUAAUCAUCGAUAACUCGUAACUUCCUGAUAAAAAAUCAAUCAUUUUAAAAAAUAGAAAUAACCGUAUUUCCUUUUAAUGCUUCGCCAUAUAAUCUUUAUGACUCUUAAAAAAGUUGAGCUUCUUCCAUUACGGUAAGUUGUAACGUCGGCUGCUCCGUUCGACGCACUUUUCUCCGCACGAGCGCUAAAAGCCGCCGUUUAUCCCCCGCAGUUUUUCACCGCGAGAAGCGGAAACCGGGUCGACGAUGAUAACAGAAAGGGACUUCGUUUCGGCUCGAGGGGAGAAAAUAGAAGAAAAAUUGGUUUGUACGAGAGAAACACAGAGGGGCUGAGAUGAGCGCGAACGUUUCUCCCUCGGGUAACGAUGAAAAAGGUCGAGAAGAGAUAGAAGAAAAAAAUAAAUAAAUAAAAAAAGAGAAAAAAAUACAAGAAAGAGGUAAGACGCGAAAAGAAACGGGAGGAAACUAAGUAAGAUGUAUACGUAUGAUAUGAAUGUGUACGUGACAGGAGAAGACAGUCUUGAAUCCCGAGCUGGCUGAACGACGAGCAAUUAGUUGUAGGUAAAUAAAAAUAUUCUGGACCACCCACCUUGCUCCUGCUGGGAUCAUCGCGUACCCUACAAAGAAGGGACGCGAGAGAUCCUGGUUUUCGAGCGGCCCCGGCCGAGAAUUCGGCCGCGCGCCCUUUUAGGAUCAUUCUUAGGCGUCGGCGUCGUGCGCGCGGCAGGAUCCGCCGUCAUCCGACGACCGGAAACCGGUCGUCGCGCGCGCACCACGCGCUUGGGCUACGUGUCUACAUUUCCCCGCGGAGAACGCGACCGGAAUGAACGGAGGCGACGAGGAAAUUCAAUGAUUCUCUGCAGUCCUGAUUCCCUCGGGAGAAUUCCUGCGCGCGGUGCAGCAAUUAACCACCCGUUUAAUCCGGAAUUAAUCCGAAACGAACGCGACUUCGGGCUUCGAGCGUGCGGCGAAGCAUUACUUAUUUGUCCGACGGGCUCGAUCGAUCGGGUACAGAUUUUACCGAGGGUGUCCGUCGGCGUCCGGCAGCCCGACGCAAUCUCGCCGAUCACAAUCGUUCCAGUUCUGUGCUGGUUUUCGCGAAACGAAAAACCGAUUAUGGAUCGAGGAUCUUGAUUGAUUUUCGCGCUGUCAAUCCGCGAGGAAUCAUUGCUAUCGUCGACUCCGUCCAUUCGACGGCGCGUCUUUACCGAAAUCGCGCGAUGGGACUAUGCACCUCUAGAUCGGAAUGUACCGUAAUGCACGCACGUGAAAACGCGAGAAAAAACAAGGACCUUCGUCCUUUCUCAGUGUAUGUGCGUCUAGGUGUGUGCAUGUAUGUGUGUGUGUGUUAUGUAUGUAUGUAUGUAUGUGCGUGUGUACGUGUGCAUGUACAUGUGUGACUAUAAUACGUGGCUGUACGUUCUUUCGUUUUUCUUUCUUUUCUUUUGGCUUGGUCGUGGUGUGUGGCGGCUGUUGGAAAGACUUUGAAAUAAAUACGUUAUCUCUCGAGAGUGUCUCGCGCGGGAGAUACUGAGGUGUACUGAAGAAUCCGCGCGCUCUCACAAAAUACGCGGGAGCGCGGGGGCCCCGCGUUCAUUGCCGUCAUUGUCGUUGCCUGACC